UAAAGAGGGUGCGAGCGAUAAUCGGAAUUACUGGGCGUAAAGCGUGCGUAGACGGUCAUGUAAGUCGGGUGUGAAAUCCCCGGGCUCAACCUGGGAAUUGCAUUCGAGACUGCGUGGCUAGGGAGCGGAAGAGGGAAGCGGAAUUUCCGGUGUAGCGGUGAAAUGCGUAGAUAUCGGAAGGAACAUCAGUGGCGAAAACGGCUUCCUGGUCCAGCACCGACGUUCAUGCAAGAAAGCGUGGGUAGCAAACAGG
RNAcentral lists this ribosomal RNA (253 nucleotides) under uncultured bacterium. RNAcentral's name for it is "partial 16S ribosomal RNA". It matches the Rfam family "Bacterial small subunit ribosomal RNA", at positions 524 to 776 of the family's 1533-position model. The record is from RNAcentral.